Molecule: ribosomal RNA, 2893 nt
Filed under: Escherichia coli
Lineage: Bacteria; Pseudomonadati; Pseudomonadota; Gammaproteobacteria; Enterobacterales; Enterobacteriaceae
Description: bacterial LSU rRNA
Rfam family: Bacterial large subunit ribosomal RNA
Source: RNAcentral
ACUAAGCGUACACGGUGGAUGCCCUGGCAGUCAGAGGCGAUGAAGGACGUGCUAAUCUGCGAUAAGCGUCGGUGAGGUGAUAUGAACCGUUAUAACCGGCGAUUUCCGAAUGGGGAAACCCAGUGUGUUUCGACACACUAUCAUUAACUGAAUCCAUAAGUUAAUGAGGCGAACCGGGGGAACUGAAACAUCUAAGUACCCCGAGGAAAAGAAAUCAACCGAGAUUCCCCCAGUAGCGGCGAGCGAACGGGGAGGAGCCCAGAGCCUGAAUCAGUGUGUGUGUUAGUGGAAGCGUCUGGAAAGGCGCGCGAUACAGGGUGACAGCCCCGUACACAAAAAUGCACAUGCUGUGAGCUCGAUGAGUAGGGCGGGACACGUGGUAUCCUGUCUGAAUAUGGGGGGACCAUCCUCCAAGGCUAAAUACUCCUGACUGACCGAUAGUGAACCAGUACCGUGAGGGAAAGGCGAAAAGAACCCCGGCGAGGGGAGUGAAAAAGAACCUGAAACCGUGUACGUACAAGCAGUGGGAGCCUCUUAAUGGGGUGACUGCGUACCUUUUGUAUAAUGGGUCAGCGACUUAUAUUCUGUAGCAAGGUUAACCGAAUAGGGGAGCCGAAGGGAAACCGAGUCUUAACUGGGCGUUAAGUUGCAGGGUAUAGACCCGAAACCCGGUGAUCUAGCCAUGGGCAGGUUGAAGGUUGGGUAACACUAACUGGAGGACCGAACCGACUAAUGUUGAAAAAUUAGCGGAUGACUUGUGGCUGGGGGUGAAAGGCCAAUCAAACCGGGAGAUAGCUGGUUCUCCCCGAAAGCUAUUUAGGUAGCGCCUCGUGAAUUCAUCUCCGGGGGUAGAGCACUGUUUCGGCAAGGGGGUCAUCCCGACUUACCAACCCGAUGCAAACUGCGAAUACCGGAGAAUGUUAUCACGGGAGACACACGGCGGGUGCUAACGUCCGUCGUGAAGAGGGAAACAACCCAGACCGCCAGCUAAGGUCCCAAAGUCAUGGUUAAGUGGGAAACGAUGUGGGAAGGCCCAGACAGCCAGGAUGUUGGCUUAGAAGCAGCCAUCAUUUAAAGAAAGCGUAAUAGCUCACUGGUCGAGUCGGCCUGCGCGGAAGAUGUAACGGGGCUAAACCAUGCACCGAAGCUGCGGCAGCGACACUAUGUGUUGUUGGGUAGGGGAGCGUUCUGUAAGCCUGUGAAGGUGGCCUGUGAGGGUUGCUGGAGGUAUCAGAAGUGCGAAUGCUGACAUAAGUAACGAUAAAGCGGGUGAAAAGCCCGCUCGCCGGAAGACCAAGGGUUCCUGUCCAACGUUAAUCGGGGCAGGGUGAGUCGACCCCUAAGGCGAGGCCGAAAGGCGUAGUCGAUGGGAAACAGGUUAAUAUUCCUGUACUUGGUGUUACUGCGAAGGGGGGACGGAGAAGGCUAUGUUGGCCGGGCGACGGUUGUCCCGGUUUAAGCGUGUAGGCUGGUUUUCCAGGCAAAUCCGGAAAACCAAGGCUGAGGCGUGAUGACGAGGCACUACGGUGCUGAAGCGACAAAUGCCCUGCUUCCAGGAAAAGCCUCUAAGCAUCAGGUAACAUCAAAUCGUACCCCAAACCGACACAGGUGGUCAGGUAGAGAAUACCAAGGCGCUUGAGAGAACUCGGGUGAAGGAACUAGGCAAAAUGGUGCCGUAACUUCGGGAGAAGGCACGCUGAUAUGUAGGUGAAGCGACUUGCUCGUGGAGCUGAAAUCAGUCGAAGAUACCAGCUGGCUGCAACUGUUUAUUAAAAACACAGCACUGUGCAAACACGAAAGUGGACGUAUACGGUGUGACGCCUGCCCGGUGCCGGAAGGUUAAUUGAUGGGGUUAGCGGCAACGCGAAGCUCUUGAUCGAAGCCCCGGUAAACGGCGGCCGUAACUAUAACGGUCCUAAGGUAGCGAAAUUCCUUGUCGGGUAAGUUCCGACCUGCACGAAUGGCGUAAUGAUGGCCAGGCUGUCUCCACCCGAGACUCAGUGAAAUUGAACUCGCUGUGAAGAUGCAGUGUACCCGCGGCAAGACGGAAAGACCCCGUGAACCUUUACUAUAGCUUGACACUGAACAUUGAGCCUUGAUGUGUAGGAUAGGUGGGAGGCUUUGAAGUGUGGACGCCAGUCUGCAUGGAGCCGACCUUGAAAUACCACCCUUUAAUGUUUGAUGUUCUAACGUUGGCCCGUAAUCCGGGUUGCGGACAGUGUCUGGUGGGUAGUUUGACUGGGGCGGUCUCCUCCUAAAGAGUAACGGAGGAGCACGAAGGUUGGCUAAUCCUGGUCGGACAUCAGGAGGUUAGUGCAAUGGCAUAAGCCAGCUUGACUGCGAGCGUGACGGCGCGAGCAGGUGCGAAAGCAGGUCAUAGUGAUCCGGUGGUUCUGAAUGGAAGGGCCAUCGCUCAACGGAUAAAAGGUACUCCGGGGAUAACAGGCUGAUACCGCCCAAGAGUUCAUAUCGACGGCGGUGUUUGGCACCUCGAUGUCGGCUCAUCACAUCCUGGGGCUGAAGUAGGUCCCAAGGGUAUGGCUGUUCGCCAUUUAAAGUGGUACGCGAGCUGGGUUUAGAACGUCGUGAGACAGUUCGGUCCCUAUCUGCCGUGGGCGAUGGAGAACUGAGGGGGGCUGCUCCUAGUACGAGAGGACCGGAGUGGACGCAUCACUGGUGUUCGGGUUGUCAUGCCAAUGGCACUGCCCGGUAGCUAAAUGCGGAAGAGAUAAGUGCUGAAAGCAUCUAAGCACGAAACUUGCCCCGAGAUGAGUUCUCCCUGAGACUUAGAGUCUCCUGAAGGAACGUUGAAGACGACGACGUUGAUAGGCCGGGUGUGUAAGCGCAGCGAUGCGUUGAGCUAACCGGUACUAAUGAACCGUGAGGCUUAACC